GAUGAACGCUGGCGGCGUGCCUAAUACAUGCAAGUCGAACGCACAGCGAAAGGUGCUUGCACCUUUCAAGUGAGUGGCGAACGGGUGAGUAACACGUGGACAACCUGCCUCAAGGCUGGGGAUAACAUUUGGAAACAGAUGCUAAUACCGAAUAAAACUCAGUUUCGCAUGACACAAAGUUAAAAGGCGCUUUGGCGUCACCUAGAGAUGGAUCCGCGGUGCAGUAGUUAGUUGGUGGGGUAAAGGCCUACCAAGACAAUGAUGCAUAGCCGAGUUGAGAGACUGAUCGGCCACAUUGGGACUGAGACACGGCCCAAACUCCUACGGGAGGCUGCAGUAGGGAAUCUUCCACAAUGGGCGAAAGCCUGAUGGAGCAACGCCGCGUGUGUGGUGAAGGCUUUCGGGUCGUAAAGCACUGUUGUAUGGGAAGAACAGCUAGAAUAGGGAAUGAUUUUAGUUUGACGGUACCAUACCAGAAAGGGACGGCUAAAUACGUGCCAGCAGCCGCCGUAA
RNAcentral lists this ribosomal RNA (513 nucleotides) under uncultured bacterium. RNAcentral's name for it is "partial 16S ribosomal RNA". It matches the Rfam family "Bacterial small subunit ribosomal RNA", at positions 28 to 523 of the family's 1533-position model. The record is from RNAcentral.